AUUUGACCUCAAAUCAGGUAAGACUACCCGCUGAACUUAAGCAUAUCAAUAAGCCGGAGGAA
This 62-nucleotide ribosomal RNA is filed under the name Tricholomopsis decora. RNAcentral describes it as "partial 25S large subunit ribosomal RNA". The record is from RNAcentral. Lineage: Eukaryota; Fungi; Basidiomycota; Agaricomycetes; Agaricales.